GCCGCGCGAGGCCGCCCUCAGCGCUUCCUCCCGGCGGAGGGGGCGGGGCGCAGCGAGCGGCCGAGGAGCGGUGACGCGGGCGCGGCCCGGGUCUGUGACACACGGCGGCGUUAGGGGGAGCCCGGAGGGGCAGAACCGUACUUUGACCGACAGAAGUACGUUGUAAUCGAUGAACUCUUAGGAUAGCGAUCCUUCGUUUCGAAUGAACGGAGAACUCGGCCGCAGAGCAGCGUGCAGAUUCGCUCGCGCUUGGUCUGGUCUGCCGCGACGCCCGUACAAGCACCGCGAACUCACAGUGCCGUUCCAAAGUGCAAAAGUUACGUUCUUACACGGAGAAGGGCUGGCAGGGCAGGCCGAACUGCUCCCGUGCGACAAACAGCUCAGUUUUCCGCAGACAAAGGCAGCAGACGAAGUGCCUCCAAGUGCCUCUACUAACACGUCCAGAGAACGAACAUAGGAAGCUGAGGAGCUGCCAGCAUUAGGUGUUUGCUGACCAGACAAUUGCUAAACUAAAUGCAACCAAGUUUUAGAGGCUACUUAGUUAUAAUUCAAAAAUGAAACCGUGCCAUCUCAAGCAUGGCACAGGCCAACAAAUAGAUGGUGGUGGCAAUACACAUUGUGGCUCACCCAGCACAACUCAAGUCUACAGCUGAGGACUCCAUACACUGAGCUGCAAGAAGCUUAAAGCAAUUAAACCAAACCAAUCUGGAACACAUUUUGACCAUUCAGAAGGUGCAUCUCUGCUGAUGUGAAAGUCUUUGUUUUUAUAUGAUGGUCAGGUCACACUAAGAUUUAAGCUGCAAAGGAAAAGCAACCACAAGACUGCUGGACCACAUUCCAGCUCUUCAGCUGUGAACUGUCUUCCUGCAGGACUAGCAGUGACAAUCCAGCUUCCAGCCAUAUAAUCAGGACUGUGCAAAGGCAAAUGUUCAGAUACAGUUCAGAUAUAUCUUUCUCAAAGAAAACAUAUUUGGCUAUUACAUGCAGGGAAUGAGGACUUAAAAAUUUGGUAGAAGAGAGAGCCCUAGACUGCUUCAGUCCAACACCUUUGAAAGGAAGUGUUCUGCACAGCACCCAUAGUCUGCUCUUCCCCAUUUCCCCAUGUGCUACAUCUCUACCUUAUGUUAUAUACUUGGCAUCCAUCACAUCACAGCUCCAAGCCCUGGAGCACAGCUGCAGUCACCGCUAUGGAAAUGGGGAACAGCUGAACAAAACCAGGGAGCUGUGUGCAAACAAAAGCACAUAUAUCAGCAGAAAAGAAUCACUUCUGAGUUUCCUUGACUUAUCCCACAGUAUCAUUCUCUUUAUUUCAGCCCCAAAACUUCCUUCCCUGCUUCCAAUUUAACCAAAUUAACACUAUGAAUUUUAUUCUGUUUCAAGAAGGGCACAGGAAGGCAACUCCCACCUCACAGAGAUACCCUGAACAAAAAUACAUAAACUCUUCACGCUUCAUUUAGCAACCUGCAGUACACACUCCGCAGCCCUUUUGUAGCAAGAGUACAGGCUGUACGAACAGCACUUGGUAUCAAACCCUACAGGUUUUAACAUGCAGAUGACAUUUAGCUUAUGCCUAUGCCGACAAGACCCACAGAAGCUUGCAGCUCUCUGUACUACCUUCACCAUGCUGCAAGAGAACAGGGUACAAUCCUAACACCUGCUCUGCUAUGGAGCAAGGGAAGCUUACAUGCCCUGAUGGUAGCUUCACAUGUCCUAUAUCUCACUCAGGGCUGAAAGAAGGGGAACCGUUUGAAAGCCAAGCAGGCAGUACUGCUUAAUGCUCUGCCCUGAAUGCUAUCCUGUAGAAUUCCCGUCUGUGUCACUCAUGGGCAACCAGAGCCCCAUACUCAUUGCUCCCCAAGAGCCAGGAUAGGCACACAGAAGAUUGCAAGGUCUGGGAAAAAAAAA
Molecule: non-coding RNA, 1905 nt
Organism: Phasianus colchicus (ring-necked pheasant)
Lineage: Eukaryota; Metazoa; Chordata; Aves; Galliformes; Phasianidae
Source: RefSeq, a predicted model, not a curated record